UCUUUUUACGACCUCUGGUCAAAGAAGGCUUAUAUUAUAUAUAUAUGGAACAAUUAUAAAAUGAAACUUGCUCUAAAAGGGGGAACCUGAAACCUCUGAGACUUAAAGUGUUCAAGACUUAAUUGAUUUUGGAAGCUUGUACUCUUCGUUAAUGUUAUUGCUUAAAUACAGAAAGGAGCACUACUUACAUUAAAGGAGCACUACUUCAACAUGGAGGAACACCCUUCUCAACUAACAACAUGGAAUAGAAAGUGCUUCCUACAUCAAAGGAGCACUACUUCAACAUGGAGAAACACCCUCAACUAACAACAUGAAAUAGAAAGUGGAGGAAUACCCUCCUACAAAUAGGGAACAAUUUAACUAAAAGAUAGCUGAAAAAAUAACUGAAAUAUUUGACUAAUUUAGAGGCUCAACAUGUGGUUGCUUUGACUUGGAUCCAUGACUGAAUCGGGUAUAGACUUGCAGUGGUUUGGUAACAUUACUUCUCGCCUCCAAAGGAAGCUUGUCCUCAAGCUGAAAAUUUGGAUAUUUGGCGUAGAAUGCCUGCACCUUCUCCCAUGAAGCAUCGGAUGGCGUUAAAUGAAAUCUCUUGUUGUUCUAGCUCCGGAUCAGAAUUUGUGUCCUCUAUUUCUUCGGUCUCCACCAAGUCUAUCCAGAAAAGCUUUUUACAAAACACAGUCCCUUUUUCCGUCUUUCUUCUAUCUCCUCAGGGUUUAGUUGCUUCACCAAUCGGUUGGCAUGAGGUGCAGAUGUGAAGGCAGCGCUAAAAGUGUCUCUCACAGCCAAGAACUUGGGAAAAGUUUCCGUUCAUAUAGCCGGGAGAUGCUCAUUGCAUUCACCAAAUCUUUUGGAUGAUGUAGCUCGACCUCAACAGCAAUGGAGUCCUACAAUCAACUGAGGUACAACUGGACCUUUUGAUCCUGCGUGAGGGUGCCAGUGCGUGACACCAAGGCUUCGAAAUGGUUCUGAUAUUUUGCAACAGAACCAAUUUGCUUUAGCUUUGCCAAUUCGCCUAAUUUAUUGCUGCGGAUUGGAGGCCCAAAAUGAAGAUUGCAUUGAUGUGUGAACUCAUCCCAAUUGGGAUCUAGAAUGUCAUCCAGCAGCUGAGCAAUCCCCUCCAAAUGGUACGAAGCUAAACUCACCUUCUCCUCUUCGGGUGUUUGUUGGUGCCUAAAAAAAUACUGGCAUCGGGCAAGCCACCCCAAAGGGUCUUCAAGCCCAUCAUAACGAGGAAAAUCAAGCUUUGUGAAUUUCGGUACUAUUGAAAUUCCUCCCGAACUUUCGGAAACCGAAGCACCUGAAAUUCCCGUAUCUCUCCUUGAUUUUGCUUGACUGCCAGUGGUGCUAGAUUGCAACCCUUUCUUAGUUGAUUCCAAUUCCUAAGACAUUGCAUCCAAUUUGGCGUGCAAUUGCUCAACUUUUUCAUUUCGGUCUUUGUUUGCUUGCUGCUCGGCCAACAACAAUUCAAAGAGCUUGGCGAGUUGAUCUUGAACAGAGUCCCCCAUAACUGCACGCUCUGAUACCAAACUGUUAUGGCCCCUAGUUGUGGAUCUGGUUAUGGGUCUGUGGGCUAGGGGUAUAGUUGGAGUUUGAGUGUUUGAGUUAAGAGUCUUUUUACGACCUCUGGUCAUUAACAAUUCAGGCUCUAAAAGAGAGAACCUGAAACCUCUGAGACUUAAAGAGCUCAAGACUUAAUUGAUUUUGAAAACUUGUACUCUUCAUUAAUGUUAUUGCUUAAAUACAGAAAGGAAGUAUAACUGCUUCCUAUUUUAAAGGAGCACUACUUCAACAUGGAGGAACACCCUCCUCAACUAACAACAUGAAAUAGAAAGUGCUUCCUACAUCAAAGGAGCACUACUUCAACAUGGAGAAACACCCUCCUCAACUAACAACAUGAAAUAGAAAGUGGAGGAAUACCCUCCUACAAACAGGGAACAAUUUAACUAAAAGAUAGCUGAAAAAAUAACUGAAAUAUUUGACUAAUUUAGAGGCUCAAUAUGUGGCUGCUUUGACUUGGGUCCAUGACUGAAUCGGGUAUAGACUUGCCGUGGUUUGGUAACAUAUUCCAAUGCUUUUUAAUAUAUGUUUUUUGAAAGUAUAAUAUUCUAAUGUUUGUUAACAUUUUUAAAGGCUGAACUAAACCAUGACCAUCUUGCCUUGUGAUUUCACAUUUUCAUUGCGUGUUUGUUUGGUUGGUUGUUUUUAUUUAAAGUAUGUUCAUGUCUUUGAGCUUCUUUUCAUUGCAAUUAUAUUUAUGUUCAAUAACUAUUAUUAUGUUGAUUAAUUUAUAUGGAUUAUGUGUUUGUUUCAGUUUUAACUUCAUUUAUGUUUUUAUUUAUGAUUUAUUUCAUUUACUUGAUUAUUUUAAACUUUAGAAUUUUUCAUAUUUUAAACAAUUUGGGGUUGUGGUUUUUUACCCAUGAAUCUAUUAUGUGGUUAAUGUUUCAAUAAAAUUAGUUAAAGCUGAUUGGAAAUUCGGGCAGGUUUGGGUAGUAUGUGGGUAAUGUUAAACGGAUGUGGGAUGGAUACAGGUAGUGAAAGAUAAUUUCUAAAUGGGUUUGGGCACUACAUAUGUAAACGGGUUUGGGGUUGGGUAUCCUAAUUUCCAUGGGUACCCUAUCCGGUGCCAUUUCUAAUCAUAGGUUCAACUCCAUUUUGUACUGAAUUAUAUUGCAGCGUGACUGUUCCAGUUCAAUACAUGCAGGUGGUGGUAAAUGUUUCUGAUUAGGGGCAGUGGUCAGAAAGAACUUAAUAUCAAUUUCAAUAAUUCACCAUUUGACUAUUAAAAAUCUGGAUAUGGUUUUUGAACCCUACCACUGAAGAGGAAUCUAUCAUGUUUCUAAGGUAGCAAAUUGUUGUAUUUGGAUAACUAGUUUUAAAGACGGCUCUACAUAACAUUUGCUUGAAUAAUAAUUAGCUGUAGAAAUCCAUAUAGAGUGGUGCAAUAAAGUUUUCAAAAAUUGAUGUAAUAUUCACAUUUAUACAGAUGUUGAAGGUAAGAUUUCUGCACACUGCAUCUGCAUGCAAUAUCACAAGAGAUUCAUUUUUUUUGCUAUCAUUGGAG
Molecule: long non-coding RNA, 3064 nt
Filed under: Manihot esculenta (cassava)
Lineage: Eukaryota; Viridiplantae; Streptophyta; Magnoliopsida; Malpighiales; Euphorbiaceae
Description: long non-coding RNA (MESC_LNC000984)
Source: RNAcentral